CAAAUUUAAAAGAAAUAUCAACAGCAUUUCAAAAGUAGCAAGUCUUCAGUGUGAAGCAUUAAGGGUUCCCCAAGCAGUUAACCCUUCAGGUUUCCCAGCUAAGUUGGUUAAUUUAGUACCCUGCAGAGUUGAGUUUGAUCCCAGACAAAGUUUGUGGAUUCAUCGACAGUUUUGGUCCUCAGUGGAGUAUUUUGAUUCCCAAGUAGAUCGCGUUGGUG
This 218-nucleotide long non-coding RNA is filed under the name Lathyrus oleraceus (garden pea). Its description in RNAcentral is "Pisum sativum (pea) long non-coding RNA (PSAT_LNC027034)". Lineage: Eukaryota; Viridiplantae; Streptophyta; Magnoliopsida; Fabales; Fabaceae. The record is from RNAcentral.